This 481-nucleotide ribosomal RNA is filed under the name uncultured bacterium. Its description in RNAcentral is "partial 16S ribosomal RNA". It matches the Rfam family "Bacterial small subunit ribosomal RNA", at positions 28 to 507 of the family's 1533-position model. The record is from RNAcentral.
GAUGAACGCUGGCGGCGUGCUUAACACAUGCAAGUCGAACGAAGCACUUUAUUUGAUUUCCUUCGGGACUGAUUAUUUUGUGACUGAGUGGCGGACGGGUGAGUAACGCGUGGGUAACCUGCCUUGUACAGGGGGAUAACAGUUGGAAACGGCUGCUAAUACCGCAUAAGCGCACAGCAUCGCAUGAUGCAGUGUGAAAAACUCCGGUGGUAUAAGAUGGACCCGCGUUGGAUUAGCUAGUUGGUGAGGUAACGGCCCACCAAGGCGACGAUCCAUAGCCGACCUGAGAGGGUGACCGGCCACAUUGGGACUGAGACACGGCCCAAACUCCUACGGGAGGCAGCAGUGGGGAAUAUUGCACAAUGGGCGAAAGCCUGAUGCAGCGACGCCGCGUGAGCGAAGAAGUAAUUCGGUAUGUAAAGCUCUAUCAGCAGGGAAGAUAAUGACGGUACCUGACUAAGAAGCACCGGCUAAAUACGUG